This is a microRNA precursor of Cercocebus atys (sooty mangabey), 77 nucleotides long. The record is from Ensembl. Lineage: Eukaryota; Metazoa; Chordata; Mammalia; Primates; Cercopithecidae.
AUUUUGGCCAACUCUGACCCCUUAGGUUGACAUCAGAAUGAGGUGUACCAACCUAGGUGGUCAGAGUUGGCCAAAAU